RNAcentral lists this ribosomal RNA (465 nucleotides) under Vreelandella stevensii. Its description in RNAcentral is "partial 16S ribosomal RNA". It matches the Rfam family "Bacterial small subunit ribosomal RNA", at positions 338 to 795 of the family's 1533-position model. Lineage: Bacteria; Pseudomonadati; Pseudomonadota; Gammaproteobacteria; Oceanospirillales; Halomonadaceae. The record is from RNAcentral.
CCUACGGGGGGCAGCAGUGGGGAAUAUUGGACAAUGGGGGGAACCCUGAUCCAGCCAUGCCGCGUGUGUGAAGAAGGCCCUCGGGUUGUAAAGCACUUUCAGUGAGGAAGAACGCCUGGUGGUUAAUACCCAUCAGGAAAGACAUCACUCACAGAAGAAGCACCGGCUAACUCCGUGCCAGCAGCCGCGGUAAUACGGAGGGUGCGAGCGUUAAUCGGAAUUACUGGGCGUAAAGCGCGCGUAGGUGGCUUGAUAAGCCGGUUGUGAAAGCCCCGGGCUCAACCUGGGAACGGCAUCCGGAACUGUCAAGCUAGAGUGCAGGAGAGGAAGGUAGAAUUCCCGGUGUAGCGGUGAAAUGCGUAGAGAUCGGGAGGAAUACCAGUGGCGAAGGCGGCCUUCUGGACUGACACUGACACUGAGGUGCGAAAGCGUGGGUAGCAAACAGGAUUAGAUACCAUAGUAGUC